Molecule: non-coding RNA, 24 nt
Filed under: Arabidopsis thaliana (thale cress)
Lineage: Eukaryota; Viridiplantae; Streptophyta; Magnoliopsida; Brassicales; Brassicaceae
Source: RNAcentral
CUGUAAGUACAUUUCAGAUUUGCA